CCUACGUGGGGCAGCAGUGAGGAAUAUUGGUCAAUGGGCGCGAGCCUGAACCAGCCAAGUCGCGUGAGGGAAGACGGCCCUACGGGUUGUAAACCUCUUUUGCCGGGGAGCAACGGGCGCCACGUGUGGCGCCACUGAGAGUACCCGGAGAAAAAGCAUCGGCUAACUACGUGCCAGCAGCCGCGGUAAUACGUAGGUGGCAAGCGUUGUCCGGAUUUACUGGGUGUAAAGGGCGUGUAGCCGGGUUGACAAGUCAGAUGUGAAAUCCUGCGGCUUAACCGCAGAACUGCAUUUGAAACUGUUGAUCUUGAGUACUGGAGAGGCAGACGGAAUUCCUAGUGUAGCGGUGAAAUGCGUAGAUAUUAGGAGGAACACCAGUGGCGAAGGCGGUCUGCUGGACAGCAACUGACGGUGAGGCGCGAAAGCGUGGGGAGCAAACAGGAUUAGAUACCCGUGUAGUC
RNAcentral lists this ribosomal RNA (461 nucleotides) under uncultured bacterium. RNAcentral describes it as "partial 16S ribosomal RNA". It matches the Rfam family "Bacterial small subunit ribosomal RNA", at positions 338 to 795 of the family's 1533-position model. The record is from RNAcentral.